Molecule: ribosomal RNA, 301 nt
Filed under: uncultured bacterium
Lineage: Bacteria
Description: partial 16S ribosomal RNA
Rfam family: Bacterial small subunit ribosomal RNA
Source: RNAcentral
CAGCCGCCGCGGUAAUACGUAGGUGGCAAGCGUUGUCCGGAAUUAUUGGGCGUAAAGCGCGCGCAGGCGGAUCAGUCAGUCUGUCUUAAAAGUUCGGGGCUUAACCCCGUGAUGGGAUGGAAACUGCUGAUCUAGAGUAUCGGAGAGGAAAGUGGAAUUCCUAGUGUAGCGGUGAAAUGCGUAGAUAUUAGGAAGAACACCAGUGGCGAAGGCGACUUUCUGGACGAAAACUGACGCUGAGGCGCGAAAGCCAGGGGAGCGAACGGGAUUAGAGACCCCAGUAGUCCCUGUCUCUUAUACA